UACACAUGCAGUCGAGCGGAACGAGUUAUCUGAACCUUCGGGGGACGAUAACGGCGUCGAGCGGCGGACGGGUGAGUAAUGCCUAGGAAAUUGCCCUGAUGUGGGGGAUAACCAUUGGAAACGAUGGCUAAUACCGCAUGAUGCCUACGGGCCAAAGAGGGGGACCUUCGGGCCUCUCGCGUCAGGAUAUGCCUAGGUGGGAUUAGCUAGUUGGUGAGGUAAGGGCUCACCAAGGCGACGAUCCCUAGCUGGUCUGAGAGGAUGAUCAGCCACACUGGAACUGAGACACGGUCCAGACUCCUACGGGAGGCAGCAGUGGGGAAUAUUGCACAAUGGGCGCAAGCCUGAUGCAGCCAUGCCGCGUGUGUGAAGAAGGCCUUCGGGUUGUAAAGCACUUUCAGUCGUGAGGAAGGUGGUGUAGUUAAUAGCUGCAUUAUUUGACGUUAGCGACAGAAGAAGCACCGGCUAACUCCGUGCCAGCAGCCGCGGUAAUACGGAGGGUGCGAGCGUUAAUCGGAAUUACUGGGCGUAAAGCGCAUGCAGGUGGUUUGUUAAGUCAGAUGUGAAAGCCCGGGGCUCAACCUCGGAAUAGCAUUUGAAACUGGCAGACUAGAGUACUGUAGAGGGGGGUAGAAUUUCAGGUGUAGCGGUGAAAUGCGUAGAGAUCUGAAGGAAUACCGGUGGCGAAGGCGGCCCCCUGGACAGAUACUGACACUCAGAUGCGAAAGCGUGGGGAGCAAACAGGAUUAGAUACCCUGGUAGUCCACGCCGUAAACGAUGUCUACUUGGAGGUUGUGGCCUUGAGCCGUGGCUUUCGGAGCUAACGCGUUAAGUAGACCGCCUGGGGAGUACGGUCGCAAGAUUAAAACUCAAAUGAAUUGACGGGGGCCCGCACAAGCGGUGGAGCAUGUGGUUUAUUCGAUGCAACGCGAAGAACCUUACCUACUCUUGACAUCAGAAACUUUC
Molecule: ribosomal RNA, 966 nt
Filed under: Vibrio sp.
Lineage: Bacteria; Pseudomonadati; Pseudomonadota; Gammaproteobacteria; Vibrionales; Vibrionaceae
Description: bacterial SSU rRNA
Rfam family: Bacterial small subunit ribosomal RNA
Source: RNAcentral